GACGAACGCUGGCGGCGUGCUUAACACAUGCAAGUCGAACGGUAAGGCCCUUCGGGGUACACGAGUGGCGAACGGGUGAGUAACACGUGGGUGAUCUGCCCUGCACUUCGGGAUCAGCCUGGGAAACUGGGUCUAAUACCGGAUAGGACCAUUGCCUGCAUUGGUGGUGGUGGAAAGCUUUUGCGGUGUGGGAUGGGCCCGCGGCCUAUCAGCUUGUUGGUGGGGUGAUGGCCUACCAAGGCGACGACGGGUAGCCGGCCUGAGAGGGUGACCGGCCACACUGGGACUGAGAUACGGCCCAGACUCCUACGGGAGGCAGCAGUGGGGAAUAUUGCACAAUGGGCGCAAGCCUGAUGCAGCGACGCCGCGUGAGGGAUGACGGCCUUCGGGUUGUAAACCUCUUUCAGCACCGACGAAGCGCAAGUGACGGUAGGUGCAGAAGAAGGACCGGCCAACUACGUGCCAGCAGCCGCCGUAA
This 478-nucleotide ribosomal RNA is filed under the name uncultured bacterium. RNAcentral's name for it is "partial 16S ribosomal RNA". It matches the Rfam family "Bacterial small subunit ribosomal RNA", at positions 28 to 523 of the family's 1533-position model. The record is from RNAcentral.